GCUGAUGGUUGGGUGGGGGGAAGGAAAAAUAGCAACUUAGCAGACAAGUUUACCAGGUAAGGAGUGAGUGGGUGGGGAGGGUUCCCGCGGGCCAUGUGGGCGGUACAGCCUUGUAUUCUGGCACAGCCAGGAUUAAUUGCUUUGGGAGGGGGUCCUUUGGAGGUGACAUUUCUCUGCAGCCCACCAAAAUUUUCUCACGGACCACUAGUGGGCCAUGGCCCACCGGUUGGCAACCACUGCUCUAUAGGACAGAGCAAUGAAAACAAUAGCGGGAAACAUAUAUGGAAGUCACAAUUGGCAGCAGUAAGCCACGAUACCUGGCCUUUCCCCCAAUUCCCCCCAAAUGCUAUGCACAGCUGGGAUGCAUACUUUUUCAGGAGUUUGGUGGGGACAGUUUUGGAAACCAUUUCAGCUGACGUCUUUAGUUCAUUAUUUGCUGGAAGCAGAAUGGACAAAGAAGGGAGGAGACAAACAUUCAUACCGUUGUCUCAUUUUGGAGAGAAAGGAAUCUUCUGCCCACUGCCAGUUCUCAUCUCUAUUUUUUUUUUUUUUUUUUUUGUGAAACGAAACAUGCAUCAGCUAGAUUUCACCAUGCCUCUUAUUUUCUGCAGGAUCACAGACAUGUCCAAGGCAUCCAUGAGUAGCCGGCCUGAGUCUGGCUAUGAAAACAUGGACCAUUUCUCUAUCAAUGUAGAUCACGUUGCUGAAAUGCUGAGAACUAUUGAAUUUCAGACAGAUAUUUCUGGAGAAGAAACUGAGUCUGAAGGAAUUAUCGCAGAAGGAAGUGUUGAAGCUGGAGAGGAAGACCAUCCAGAAGGAUCAGAGGGGCCUGAAGGAGCAGAAGAUGGAGAGAACCUGUCUCGAUUCAGACCAAAGCCACCUAAUAUACCACCUCGGGGUAAGUCCUCCUUCUCCUGGACAAUUGGCAGAGAAUGAGAGGGCCAGGAGGAAUAUCUUCAGGAAUGAGUCCCAACAACCGGAUGUUCUCUUGAUGGGAUGCUUACAUAGAAAGUUUCUAGGGAUGAUCUGAAUGGAAUUUUCUGCCAGGUGGUUGAUUAUUUUGUGUACUUUACCUGGCACUGCUAUAGAGAAGACAAUAGCCUAGCUUCUUUUAUCACAAUCUUUUUCAAUGACAUAAAAAAAGGGUGAGGUAGAAACACAGUGAAAAGAAAUAACACCCAUCAGCCAGAAUUGAAGGAAGGGAAUAGAGCAGGUCCUACUGUUUCCAAAGCAGCAGGGAAAUAAUUCUGCUUCCUAACCCAGAAAUAGUGGGCAGAAUUCUGGUAACUUAUAACUGUUGAUCUUUAGCUAUUUUGGAUCUUCUUUCCUGCUUCUGAGGCUUUGGGGUUUCCCUGGCAAAAUUUCUCCCAAGGUUCAUUCUCUUGUUCCCUCCCCCAACUCUUUAUCUUUCCAAGGGUAUAAUGGAAUUAAAAGAAGAGAAUUUGUCACCAGGAAAGGGUAGGGUGCCCAUUAGUGAGCUUUCCUGCUUUAGACUGGGAUAUUCACCAGACCUGGAUCAUCUGGGCAGCAAUCUGGCACAUUUUAUUUCCCACUAGACGUGUAUCUUAUUUCUUCCACCAGGACAACACUGAAAAGUCACUUUGAAGACGGAAGCAGUUGGAGAAUGUUCCGGUCAGCCCCAUCCCAUGCUUCUUCCUCCACUCCAGCAGACGUUUUUCUUGCUUCCUACUAAAUUUUCUUUCUCUGUGCAUCUUUUUCUUGCUUCCUUCUAUGCUCUUUUUCUCCCCAUACCAUUUGGCUUUUUAAUAUAUGGAGAUAAUAAAGUUGUGAGUUAUUUUUGCUAACAGCAAUUCUGGCAAGGUUCGUUGGGUGAGAGAGAUUCUGUUGG
Pseudonaja textilis is the source of this 1849-nucleotide long non-coding RNA. NCBI's taxonomy places the organism in Eukaryota, Metazoa, Chordata, Lepidosauria, Squamata, Elapidae. The record is from Ensembl.